This is a long non-coding RNA of Megalops cyprinoides (Indo-Pacific tarpon), 475 nucleotides long. RefSeq lists it as uncharacterized. The record is from RefSeq and is a predicted model, not a curated record. The transcript is spliced from 3 exons. Lineage: Eukaryota; Metazoa; Chordata; Actinopteri; Elopiformes; Megalopidae.
UACUUGAAGGCAAGCUGUGGAAAGCAGAGUCGCUGGUGGAGGAAAAGCAACAGUGAUAUCUUUUAUGGCCUAUCAGUUUUUAAAAUAUAUGCAUAAGCUCGGGGUUCGUCGUUUCUGGAUGAGAACCAGUUUGGCAUCUCACGUUGAUAAAUUGCGAGAAUGGUCGUAACUUAGGUGUCAACAUAUCUGUAAGUCGUUUGCUUCUUGUAAUUAACCGGGCUCCUGCGUUUCAAGGAAUAACGUUACGGACAUAUCUGACCAAGUGGAAAGAAUUCUCUCUAACCCGUGUGAAUUUCGAUCAAAGGAACAGGAUGAACUGCAGAGCGAUAUGAAGAAAAGUCAAAGGCAUCUGCUGAUGAGGGCAGCAGGUUUAUGGGGCAGGACACAACUGAAAGGUGACAUCAAAAGUGAGACGGGUCAAAGGCAGCAUCACCAGCACACCGUGCUGCUGGUUGAGGUAUGGACUGAAAAUGAA